Molecule: ribosomal RNA, 301 nt
Filed under: uncultured bacterium
Lineage: Bacteria
Description: partial 16S ribosomal RNA
Rfam family: Bacterial small subunit ribosomal RNA
Source: RNAcentral
CAGGUAGCCGCGGGAAUACGUAGGGUGCGAGCGUUAAUCGGAAUUACUGGGCGUAAAGCGUGCGCAGGCGGUUUUGUAAGACAGGCGUGAAAUCCCCGGGCUCAACCUGGGAAUGGCGCUUGUGACUGCAAAGCUAGAGUGCGGCAGAGGGGGAUGGAAUUCCGCGUGUAGCAGUGAAAUGCGUAGAUAUGCGGAGGAACACCGAUGGCGAAGGCAAUCCCCUGGGCCUGCACUGACGCUCAUGCACGAAAGCGUGGGGAGCAAACAGGAUUAGAGACCCCUGUAGUCCCUGUCUCUUAUA